Molecule: microRNA precursor, 60 nt
Filed under: Homo sapiens (human)
Lineage: Eukaryota; Metazoa; Chordata; Mammalia; Primates; Hominidae
Description: Hsa-Mir-430-P10_pre stem-loop
Source: RNAcentral
UUUCAAGCCAGGGGGCGUUUUUCUAUAACUGGAUGAAAAGCACCUCCAGAGCUUGAAGCU